AGAGUUUGAUCAUGGCUCAGGACGAACGCUGGCGGCGUGCUUAACACAUGCAAGUCGAACGGAAAGGCCCUUCGGGGUACUCGAGUGGCGAACGGGUGAGUAACACGUGGGUGAUCUGCCCUGCACUUCGGGAUAAGCCUGGGAAACUGGGUCUAAUACCGGAUAUACCUCAUGGGCUGCAUGGUUUGUGGGGGAAAGCUUUUGCGGUGUGGGAUGGGCCCGCGGCCUAUCAGCUUGUUGGUGAGGUUAUGGCUUACCAAGGCGACGACGGGUAGCCGGCCUGAGAGGGUGACCGGCCACACUGGGACUGAGAUACGGCCCAGACUCCUACGGGAGGCAGCAGUGGGGAAUAUUGCACAAUGGGCGCAAGCCUGAUGCAGCGACGCCGCGUGAGGGAUGACGGCCUUCGGGUUGUAAACCUCUUUCAGCUCCGACGAAGCGCAAGUGACGGUAGGGGUAGAAGAAGGACCGGCCAACUACGUGCCAGCAGCCGCGGUAAUACGUAGGGUCCGAGCGUUGUCCGGAAUUACUGGGCGUAAAGAGCUCGUAGGUGGUUUGUCGCGUUGUUCGUGAAAACUCACAGCUCAACUGUGGGCGUGCGGGCGAUACGGGCAGACUUGAGUACUGCAGGGGAGACUGGAAUUCCUGGUGUAGCGGUGGAAUGCGCAGAUAUCAGGAGGAACACCGGUGGCGAAGGCGGGUCUCUGGGCAGUAACUGACGCUGAGGAGCGAAAGCGUGGGGAGCGAACAGGAUUAGAUACCCUGGUAGUCCACGCCGUAAACGGUGGGUACUAGGGUGUGGGUUUCUUCCUUGGAAUCCGUGCCGUAGCUAACGCAUUAAGUACCCCGCCUGGGGAGUACGGCCGCAAGGCUAAAACUCAAGGAAUUGACGG
This 893-nucleotide ribosomal RNA is filed under the name uncultured bacterium. Its description in RNAcentral is "bacterial SSU rRNA". It matches the Rfam family "Bacterial small subunit ribosomal RNA", at positions 8 to 916 of the family's 1533-position model. The record is from RNAcentral.